GUGUCAUGCAAGAAGGAGGCGGCGGCGGCGGCGGCCGGAGCUGGAGUGGGAGGAGGGGAGGAACCUGAUCCUCGGUAGCGAAGGGCUGGAGGCAAACACCGAGCUCCCCCUGAGCCGCUCGGGAACAGGGAGGGUUCUGCUACCCUGAGGGGCCCUCCCCGCGGGGCAGAGGGGUUUCCUCAGCAGUGCCCCCGAGCAGGGACCGCGCCAGCCAGCAGAAACAGCUAGUUGUUGUCUACAGUGAAGAAUAAUUGGAAGCAUGGUGCCUGCUUCUUUUCCUGUGGGGGGAAGUCACGACAUGUACUUCUGACUCUAUGCUUGCCUUGAGGAACAAUGGCAUGACACAGGGAUGUGGACGUUUUUCAACCAGAUGCUUCGGUACAGCAGUGUCGGCACACAAGGAGUGUUCCACUGACUGACCUCUUUUUGUUUUCAAAUGAAGAGGAGCCAAGAAUAGGACGGCUUGGGAAGGUGAGCUGCGUAUAACUCGUCAGGCUGAGCCCAUCCUCGCCUAUGGCCAAGGGUUUCUCGUUUCUAGAAGAUGAAAGAUGUGAUGACUUAGGAAAAACUAGAAUCUGAGUAACUGUGGUGGGCACUGGGCCAGAGGUAGGCAUACACCUUGCCAUCCACAAGAGAAAGUGUGCUGUUCGAGAUGUGAGUCUUCAGAUGUUCCCGCCGCCAUAUCUGACAGCUGCUGCCAAGAUUCCCUGGUGCGAUGGACUCUUAUACCUCUACAACCAGAAGCCCAAGUAAACUCUUCUAUAAGUUGAAUGAAUCAUGCUU
RNAcentral lists this long non-coding RNA (783 nucleotides) under Mus pahari (shrew mouse). RNAcentral describes it as "lncRNA (MGP_PahariEiJ_G0012257.1)". Lineage: Eukaryota; Metazoa; Chordata; Mammalia; Rodentia; Muridae. The record is from RNAcentral.